This 893-nucleotide ribosomal RNA is filed under the name Streptomyces murinus. RNAcentral describes it as "bacterial SSU rRNA". It matches the Rfam family "Bacterial small subunit ribosomal RNA", at positions 8 to 916 of the family's 1533-position model. Lineage: Bacteria; Bacillati; Actinomycetota; Actinomycetes; Kitasatosporales; Streptomycetaceae. The record is from RNAcentral.
AGAGUUUGAUCCUGGCUCAGGACGAACGCUGGCGGCGUGCUUAACACAUGCAAGUCGAACGAUGAAGCCCUUCGGGGUGGAUUAGUGGCGAACGGGUGAGUAACACGUGGGCAAUCUGCCCUGCACUCUGGGACAAGCCCUGGAAACGGGGUCUAAUACCGGAUAUGACCAUCUUGGGCAUCCUUGAUGGUGUAAAGCUCCGGCGGUGCAGGAUGAGCCCGCGGCCUAUCAGCUUGUUGGUGAGGUAAUGGCUCACCAAGGCGACGACGGGUAGCCGGCCUGAGAGGGCGACCGGCCACACUGGGACUGAGACACGGCCCAGACUCCUACGGGAGGCAGCAGUGGGGAAUAUUGCACAAUGGGCGAAAGCCUGAUGCAGCGACGCCGCGUGAGGGAUGACGGCCUUCGGGUUGUAAACCUCUUUCAGCAGGGAAGAAGCGAGAGUGACGGUACCUGCAGAAGAAGCGCCGGCUAACUACGUGCCAGCAGCCGCGGUAAUACGUAGGGCGCAAGCGUUGUCCGGAAUUAUUGGGCGUAAAGAGCUCGUAGGCGGCUUGUCACGUCGAUUGUGAAAGCUCGGGGCUUAACCCCGAGUCUGCAGUCGAUACGGGCUAGCUAGAGUGUGGUAGGGGAGAUCGGAAUUCCUGGUGUAGCGGUGAAAUGCGCAGAUAUCAGGAGGAACACCGGUGGCGAAGGCGGAUCUCUGGGCCAUUACUGACGCUGAGGAGCGAAAGCGUGGGGAGCGAACAGGAUUAGAUACCCUGGUAGUCCACGCCGUAAACGGUGGGAACUAGGUGUUGGCGACAUUCCACGUCGUCGGUGCCGCAGCUAACGCAUUAAGUUCCCCGCCUGGGGAGUACGGCCGCAAGGCUAAAACUCAAAGGAAUUGACGG